RNAcentral lists this long non-coding RNA (440 nucleotides) under Mus musculus (house mouse). RNAcentral describes it as "long non-coding RNA chr5:27633798-27634238". Lineage: Eukaryota; Metazoa; Chordata; Mammalia; Rodentia; Muridae. The record is from RNAcentral.
UGAAGACCCACCUGUGAGCUGUAACCUGGAGACCAGUGCUCCAUACCUCCUGUGCAUGCUCCACACUUCAUGAUGCUGUGCCUUUUCUGCCCUUCCCCACAGUUUCCUUCCCUGUCAUGUGGCUGACCAAGUGCCCACUGACAUUGGCAGACUCAGUGAACUGAAUUGAAUGGGAAGAUGCCAAGACUUCUGGGAAGGGAGAGCUAGCCCAAAGAUCUCCUUGCCUUUUAAAAAUUCCAUGGUUUAGACCUGGAGAGAGCUCAGUUGUUAAAAUAUUUGUCAUGCAAGCAUGAGGCCUAGAGUUUGAGCCCCAUAUAAAAACAUCUGGGUGAGGUAGGAUAUAGCUGUAAUCCUAUCCCUGAGAAAGCUAAGACAAAAUCCCUGAGACUUACUGAUAAGCCAGCUUUGGUGAACUCCAGACCAGUGAGAGAUGCUGUCAC